AAGUCGUAACAAGGUUUCCGUAGGUGAACCUGCGGAAGGAUCAUUAUCACAUGAAUCCAUGUAUAAACCAUUUCGUGAACUGUUAAAAACAAACUGUUAUGUGCUCAGUAUAUAUAAUUUGUUAGUUACGCUGGUGUCGAUGUGUUCGGCCAGCGCUUAGGUUUGGUUUGGAUGUGUUUCGACCUUACUGGCUAACAAAAUCACUUGCUGAGUCUUAAUGGUAAAAACCUGUGAAACCCCUUUUAAACUUUUGAACUAACGUCUUCAUACUCCAAUAAAACGGAGAUGAAGUUUCUUACGAAACAAAGAACAACUCUUAGCAACGGAUAUCUUGGUUCUC
RNAcentral lists this unclassified non-coding RNA (340 nucleotides) under fungal sp. Its description in RNAcentral is "partial internal transcribed spacer region". The stretch from base 1 to 46 matches the Rfam family "Eukaryotic small subunit ribosomal RNA", at positions 1786 to 1831 of the family's 1831-position model. The record is from RNAcentral. Lineage: Eukaryota; Fungi.